UACGGGGGGUGCAAGCGUUAUUCGGAAUUAUUGGGCGUAAAGGGCGCGUAGGCGGUCUCUAAAGUCAGAUGUGAAAGCCCGGGGCUUAACCCCGGAAGUGCAUUUGAAACUCAGGGACUUGAGUAUGGGAGAGGGAAGUGGAAUUCCUGGUGUAGCGGUGAAAUGCGUAGAUAUCAGGAGGAACACCAGUGGCGAAGGCGACUUCCUGGACCAAUACUGACGCUGAGGCGCGAAGGCGUGGGGAGCAAACAGG
Molecule: ribosomal RNA, 253 nt
Filed under: uncultured bacterium
Lineage: Bacteria
Description: partial 16S ribosomal RNA
Rfam family: Bacterial small subunit ribosomal RNA
Source: RNAcentral